This 121-nucleotide ribosomal RNA is filed under the name Danio rerio (zebrafish). The record is from RNAcentral. Lineage: Eukaryota; Metazoa; Chordata; Actinopteri; Cypriniformes; Danionidae.
GGCCACAGUCUUAUAACCCCACAGCCCAAGACCAGUUUCUCACUGAAGUUAAGCAGGGCUGAGCCUGGUCAGUACCUGGAUGGGAGACCACAUGCUGUUGGAAGUGGUGUUAGUGAGGCCA